UCCUACCAACCCCACAACUUCCAUCCCCCUAACACUUCCUGCCCUUACCAACAAUUCCGUAACCCUCCUCCGCCGCAAAACCCUCCCGCAUACAACUAUCGUCCGCAAAACCCUCCUCCUCCUCCGCCUCCCGGUUCCACUUCUCAGCCACAAAACCAACCUCCCUCCGCUCCUCAGUCUCAAAACCCUCCCACAUACACCUAUCGUCCGCAAAACCCUCCUCCUCCUCCGCCUCCCGGUUCCACUUCUCAGCCCCAAAACCAACCUCCCUCCGCUCCUCAGUCUCAAAACCAGCCUGUCUCUACUCCUCGGCAGCAAAAUCCCAAACAGGCUAUUGAUAAGGUUGACAAAGCUUCUUCC
RNAcentral lists this long non-coding RNA (360 nucleotides) under Trifolium pratense (red clover). RNAcentral's name for it is "long non-coding RNA (TPRA_LNC001400)". Lineage: Eukaryota; Viridiplantae; Streptophyta; Magnoliopsida; Fabales; Fabaceae. The record is from RNAcentral.